CGCAUUUCAUACUAAGAAGUCUCUCUCUUUUUCUUGCAUUUUCUUUUAGGCAUAUCCUUUAGGCGUUCCAGAAGGACUUUGAGAACCAUCCUUUCCUAAAUCAAAGGUGGAAUAUUUGGCGAUUUGGAAAAUUGAG
This 136-nucleotide long non-coding RNA is filed under the name Mus pahari (shrew mouse). RNAcentral's name for it is "sRNA (MGP_PahariEiJ_G0008089.1)". It matches the Rfam family "Pvt1 oncogene conserved region 5". The record is from RNAcentral. Lineage: Eukaryota; Metazoa; Chordata; Mammalia; Rodentia; Muridae.